GCAGUAGCUAAAUGUAAGUCUCUCUGGAUAAGAGCGUCUGCUAAAUGACUAAAA
Salmo salar (Atlantic salmon) is the source of this 54-nucleotide non-coding RNA. Lineage: Eukaryota; Metazoa; Chordata; Actinopteri; Salmoniformes; Salmonidae. The record is from Rfam.